RNAcentral lists this long non-coding RNA (201 nucleotides) under Carica papaya (papaya). RNAcentral's name for it is "long non-coding RNA (CPAP_LNC005759)". The record is from RNAcentral. Lineage: Eukaryota; Viridiplantae; Streptophyta; Magnoliopsida; Brassicales; Caricaceae.
GAAUGAGAAUUAUGUUGUAUCAUCAUUUUGACAGAAUUUGAUUUCAUUUUUGUUUUGGACAAAUUUGAUUAUUUUUGUUCUUUUGAAAAUAGAAAGUUUAUUCUUUUUCAUGACUUAAAGUUGCUUGGUACUGGUUCUUCAUUUGAUCAUGAUAAUCUUUAUUUGCUUGAUACAAUUAUUUUUUUUAAUGAAUCAUUACAU